GAUGAACGCUGGCGGCGUGCCUAAUACAUGCAAGUCGAGCGAACAGACGAGGAGCUUGCUCCUCUGACGUUAGCGGCGGACGGGUGAGUAACACGUGGAUAACCUACCUAUAAGACUGGGAUAACUUCGGGAAACCGGAGCUAAUACCGGAUAAUAUAUUGAACCGCAUGGUUCAAUAGUGAAAGACGGUUUUGCUGUCACUUAUAGAUGGAUCCGCGCCGCAUUAGCUAGUUGGUAAGGUAACGGCUUACCAAGGCAACGAUGCGUAGCCGACCUGAGAGAGUGAUCGGCCACACUGGAACUGAGACACGGUCCAGACUCCUACGGGAGGCAGCAGUAGGGAAUCUUCCGCAAUGGGCGAAAGCUUGACGGAGCAACGCCGCGUGAGUGAUGAAGGUCUUCGGAUCGUAAAACUCUGCUAUUAGGGAAGAACAAAUGUGUAAGUAACUAUGCACGUCUUGACGGUACCUAAUCAGAAAGCCACGGCUAACUACGUG
Molecule: ribosomal RNA, 497 nt
Filed under: uncultured bacterium
Lineage: Bacteria
Description: partial 16S ribosomal RNA
Rfam family: Bacterial small subunit ribosomal RNA
Source: RNAcentral